CUCCUAUAAUUGAUUUCUUCUGGCAGGUCUGACCUCCUCAUGGUGCCCAGUCUAGGCUGGCACUAUAAUAAUUCAUCUCUGAUCCCUGAGACACUAGCCACAUGCUGGCAUAUGGAGACUGGCUAUCUGGAAUUAGGAACUUGUCACUGUGACCUCAGAAAUUAAAAGACUUCCAACUGAACUAGAUACAAGUCAGCUAAUCUAGAAAGAUAAGUACUAUUCUUUGCAAUGACCAUAUGACCUUAUAUGUUGCUCUGGGAAUGAAUUCAGCAGAUAACUAUUGUCCAAUGGCUAAAAGUUACUUAUUUUAAACCCAAAC
Molecule: long non-coding RNA, 319 nt
Filed under: Fukomys damarensis (Damara mole-rat)
Lineage: Eukaryota; Metazoa; Chordata; Mammalia; Rodentia; Bathyergidae
Description: lncRNA (ENSFDAG00000027056.1)
Source: RNAcentral